RNAcentral lists this ribosomal RNA (466 nucleotides) under uncultured bacterium. RNAcentral describes it as "partial 16S ribosomal RNA". It matches the Rfam family "Bacterial small subunit ribosomal RNA", at positions 28 to 506 of the family's 1533-position model. The record is from RNAcentral.
GACGAACGCUGGCGGCGUGCUUAACACAUGCAAGUCGAACGGAAAGGCCUCUUUCGGGGGGUACUCGAGUGGCGAACGGGUGAGUAACACGUGAGUAACCUGCCCUUUACUUUGGGAUAACUUCAGGAAACUGGGGCUAAUACCGGAUAGGAGCUCCUGCUGCAUGGUGGGGGUUGGAAAGUUUCGGCGGUUGGGGAUGGACUCGCGGCUUAUCAGCUUGUUGGUGGGGUAGUGGCUUACCAAGGCUUUGACGGGUAGCCGGCCUGAGAGGGUGACCGGCCACAUUGGGACUGAGAUACGGCCCAGACUCCUACGGGAGGCAGCAGUGGGGAAUAUUGCACAAUGGGUGGAAGCCUGAUGCAGCAACGCCGUGUGCGGGAUGACGGCCUUCGGGUUGUAAACCGCUUUCGCUCAUGACGAAGCUUUGUGUGACGGUAGUGGGUAAAGAAGCACCGGCUAACUACGU